CCCAGUUCAACCCUUAGCAGCAGCCUCUACGUCUCAGACUAGACAGUCCUUCCUCCAAGAUGCCUGAGCCGUCCAGCGUGCGCUGUUAGCCUCAGCUCAGCCUUUAGCCAGUUUCCUUGGCAGCAGUUCUCUCAUCUCAGACAAACGUGGAUCCGGUUGGCCUGCCUUCCUGUCUGUCUCUCACUCGGAUGUAAGCUCCUUGAGUGCUAGGUCUGUGUGCCUGCGGUUUCUCCAGAGCUUGGUAAAGGACCACCCUCACCCGAGCCGCUGAUGACACCUGGACACCUGCAGAAGCCCCUCUCCGGUCUCCUGGUCUCCUCCCCUACGUGCCUCUCCCCUCCACAUCCAUUCUGCUCAUCUCUCACUCUCUCCCUUGGCACCCCCGUGGCUUCCUGUUGGACAUCUAGUCCCGCCGCCCGGUGGCUCAGUCUGAAACAAGCCCCACUCGCUGGCCUCAGGCCCCUGGCCUUUCUUCUCCCAGUUAGGCUCUCCCUCUUCCGUUCUCAUGGCUGGUCCCUGUGUCAUCCAGGUCUCAGCCCGAAUGUGGCCUCUUCAGAGGGCCCUCCCGGACCGCCUUAGAUCCUGCCACAGCAUUUUUUAUUCUGUGGACUUGCUCGCUCACUGCCCACCUCCCCUCCCCUUCCCACAAGAAGUCAGCCCCCGGAGUGCAGCUGUCAUGACAGCUGGCCUCGGGAUCCCGGGCCCGUGCCUGGCACACAGCAGGUGCUCAGGAGAUGCUUGCCGGGUGAAUGAAUGAGGCACCAGAGCGAUCUCCUAGCCACAAGCGUUCACAGUCUUAAAUGCACAAAGUCAGCGAUCAGUCCUGAGUGGUUCACUCUCCGGGGAUCUGAAGCCGACGACCUUGGACAGUCAUUUGACCUUUCUGAGCUGUGAUUUCCUCUUCUAUGAAAUAAAAAGUUGAACUAG
Molecule: long non-coding RNA, 927 nt
Filed under: Equus caballus (horse)
Lineage: Eukaryota; Metazoa; Chordata; Mammalia; Perissodactyla; Equidae
Description: lncRNA (ENSECAG00000053772.1)
Source: RNAcentral